UGAGUGGACCGGGUGACCGCUCCGGCUCCACAGCCGGGGAGGAAAGUCCGAGCUCCACCGAGCAGGGUGCUGGGUAACACCCAGGAGGGGCGACCCUACGGAAAGUGCCACAGAAACAUACCGCCAGCGGCUGGCUUAGCCAGUGCGGGCAAGGGUGAAAUGGUGAGGUAAGAGCUCACCAGCAACCGGGAGACCAGUUGGCUGGGCAAACCCCACCCGGAGCAAGACCAAAUAAAGGGGCAAGACUGCCUCGGGUCCCUUGACUCGGGCAAGUCUAAGGUGCUCGGCCGAAGCCCUCGGGUUGGUCGCUUGACCCUGAUGGUAACAUCAGGGCUAGAUGAAUGGUCACCGCUCCCUAGCGGAGUACAGAACUCGGCUUACAGGUUCACUCACCCA
This 396-nucleotide RNase P RNA is filed under the name Chloroflexota bacterium. Its description in RNAcentral is "Chloroflexi bacterium (hot springs metagenome) RNase P RNA component class A". It matches the Rfam family "Bacterial RNase P class A". From Rfam's summary of the family: Ribonuclease P (RNase P) is a ubiquitous endoribonuclease, found in archaea, bacteria and eukarya as well as chloroplasts and mitochondria. Its best characterised activity is the generation of mature 5'-ends of tRNAs by cleaving the 5'-leader elements of precursor-tRNAs. Lineage: Bacteria; Bacillati; Chloroflexota. The record is from RNAcentral.